AUGCAAGUCGUACGGAGAAUUUAUUUCGGUAAAUUCUUAGUGGCGAACGGGUGAGUAACACGUGGGCAACCUGCCUCGUGGUUGGGGACAACAUUCCGAAAGGAGUGCUAAUACCGAAUACGCUCCAUUACCGGCAUCGGUUUUGGAGGAAAGAUGGCCUCUAUUUAUAAGCUAUCACCAUGAGAUGGGCCUGCGUCUGAUUAGCUAGUUGGUGGGGUAACGGCUCACCAAGGCGAUGAUCAGUAGCCGGUCUGAGAGGAUGAACGGCCACAUUGGGACUGAGACACGGCCCAAACUCCUACGGGAGGCAGCAGUGGGGAAUCUUCCGCAAUGGGCGAAAGCCUGACGGAG
RNAcentral lists this ribosomal RNA (351 nucleotides) under uncultured Veillonellaceae bacterium. Its description in RNAcentral is "bacterial SSU rRNA". It matches the Rfam family "Bacterial small subunit ribosomal RNA", at positions 55 to 391 of the family's 1533-position model. Lineage: Bacteria; Bacillati; Bacillota; Negativicutes; Veillonellales; Veillonellaceae. The record is from RNAcentral.